GGAAGUAAAAGUCGUAACAAGGUUUCCGUAGGUGAACCUGCGGAAGGAUCAUUACCGAGCAAGGGUUCCCUCGUCUGGGGCCCGACCUCUCCACCGUGCCGAAUCGGACCCUGUUGCUUCAGCGGGCUGGAGGGCUGAUGCCUGGCCGUCAAGUCUUCCCCAGCUAGGCCCGCUGGAGACCCCUGUGAAAUACCGAUGCGUCAACAAAUGCCGUCUGAGUGGGAAUGCAAUCUAGUCGCAAAACUUUCAACAAUGGAUCUCUUGGUUCCGGCAUCGAUGAAGAACGCAGCGAAAUGCGAUAAGUAAUGCGAAUUGCAGAAUUCCGUGAAUCAUCGAAUCUUUGAACGCAUAUUGCGCCCUCCGGAAUUCCGGAGGGCAUGCCUGUCCGAGUGUCAUUGCCUCUCUCCGAGCCCCCAGCUUGGGUGUUGGGCCGCCGUCCCCCUCCGCGGUGGGGCUGGGACGGGCCUGAAAGACAACGGCGGUGCGAUGGUCAGCCUCCGAGCGUAUGGGGGUGUUGUUUUCCCGCUCCAUGGGGUGUGAUGGGCACCUGUCUCUCUGCAGUGUUGACUCCAGUGGACCUCGGAUCAGGUAAGGAUACCCGCUGAACUUAAGCAUAUC
This 618-nucleotide ribosomal RNA is filed under the name Elaphomyces septatus. RNAcentral's name for it is "eukaryotic LSU rRNA". The stretch from base 242 to 395 matches the Rfam family "5.8S ribosomal RNA". The record is from RNAcentral. Lineage: Eukaryota; Fungi; Ascomycota; Eurotiomycetes; Eurotiales; Elaphomycetaceae.